RNAcentral lists this transfer RNA (65 nucleotides) under Camelus bactrianus (Bactrian camel). It matches the Rfam family "tRNA". Rfam says of the family: Transfer RNA (tRNA) molecules are approximately 80 nucleotides in length. Their secondary structure includes four short double-helical elements and three loops (D, anti-codon, and T loops). The record is from Rfam by way of RNAcentral. Lineage: Eukaryota; Metazoa; Chordata; Mammalia; Artiodactyla; Camelidae. RNAcentral also lists the same sequence under 1 other name.
GCUACAGCUUAGUGGUAGAGCACAUGUUUAAGAUGCACAAGGUCCUGGGUUCAAUCCCCAGUAGC